This 710-nucleotide ribosomal RNA is filed under the name uncultured Pseudomonadota bacterium. RNAcentral describes it as "bacterial SSU rRNA". It matches the Rfam family "Bacterial small subunit ribosomal RNA", at positions 73 to 776 of the family's 1533-position model. Lineage: Bacteria; Pseudomonadati; Pseudomonadota. The record is from RNAcentral.
AAGCAGCUUGCUGCUUCGCUGACGAGUGGCGGACGGGUGAGUAAUGUCUGGGAAGCUGCCUGAUGGAGGGGGAUAACUACUGGAAACGGUAGCUAAUACCGCAUAAUGUCGCAAGACCAAAGAGGGGGACCUUCGGGCCUCUUGCCAUCGGAUGUGCCCAGAUGGGAUUAGCUUGUUGGUGGGGUAACGGCUCACCAAGGCGACGAUCCCUAGCUGGUCUGAGAGGAUGACCAGCCACACUGGAACUGAGACACGGUCCAGACUCCUACGGGAGGCAGCAGUGGGGAAUAUUGCACAAUGGGCGCAAGCCUGAUGCAGCCAUGCCGCGUGUAUGAAGAAGGCCUUCGGGUUGUAAAGUACUUUCAGCGGGGAGGAAGGGAGUAAAGUUAAUACCUUUGCUCAUUGACGUUACCCGCAGAAGAAGCACCGGCUAACUCCGUGCCAGCAGCCGCGGUAAUACGGAGGGUGCAAGCGUUAAUCGGAAUUACUGGGCGUAAAGCGCACGCAGGCGGUUUGUUAAGUCAGAUGUGAAAUCCCCGGGCUCAACCUGGGAACUGCAUCUGAUACUGGCAAGCUUGAGUCUCGUAGAGGGGGGUAGAAUUCCAGGUGUAGCGGUGAAAUGCGUAGAGAUCUGGAGGAAUACCGGUGGCGAAGGCGGCCCCCUGGACGAAGACUGACGCUCAGGUGCGAAAGCGUGGGGAGCAAACAGG